RNAcentral lists this ribosomal RNA (496 nucleotides) under uncultured bacterium. RNAcentral's name for it is "partial 16S ribosomal RNA". It matches the Rfam family "Bacterial small subunit ribosomal RNA", at positions 29 to 507 of the family's 1533-position model. The record is from RNAcentral.
AUGAACGCUGGCGGCGUGCCUAAUACAUGCAAGUCGAGCGAACAGACGAGGAGCUUGCUCCUCUGACGUUAGCGGCGGACGGGUGAGUAACACGUGGAUAACCUACCUAUAAGACUGGGAUAACUUCGGGAAACCGGAGCUAAUACCGGAUAAUAUAUUGAACCGCAUGGUUCAAUAGUGAAAGACAGUUUUGCUGUCACUUAUAGAUGGAUCCGCGCCGCAUUAGCUAGUUGGUAAGGUAACGGCUUACCAAGGCAACGAUGCGUAGCCGACCUGAGAGGGUGAUCGGCCACACUGGAACUGAGACACGGUCCAGACUCCUACGGGAGGCAGCAGUAGGGAAUCUUCCGCAAUGGGCGAAAGCCUGACGGAGCAACGCCGCGUGAGUGAUGAAGGUCUUCGGAUCGUAAAACUCUGUUAUUAGGGAAGAACAAAUGUGUAAGUAACUAUGCACGUCUUGACGGUACCUAAUCAGAAAGCCACGGCUAACUACGUG